UGUGUACUCCCUCGUCCCAAAGUUCCUGUCUUAGAUUAGUCUAGAUACGGCUAUAUCUAAUACUAAAACGUGACUUUAUACAUCUGUAUUUAGACAAAUGUAAGACAAGAAUUUUGGGAUGGAGGGAGUAUUUC
Molecule: non-coding RNA, 134 nt
Organism: Triticum urartu
Lineage: Eukaryota; Viridiplantae; Streptophyta; Magnoliopsida; Poales; Poaceae
Source: Rfam